RNAcentral lists this ribosomal RNA (433 nucleotides) under uncultured bacterium. Its description in RNAcentral is "partial 16S ribosomal RNA". It matches the Rfam family "Bacterial small subunit ribosomal RNA", at positions 29 to 507 of the family's 1533-position model. The record is from RNAcentral.
AACGAACGCUGGCGGCAUGCCUAACACAUGCAAGUCGAACGAGACCUUCGGGUCUGGUGGCGCACGGGUGCGUAACGCGUGGGAACCUGCCCUUAGGUUCGGAAUAACUCCCCGAAAGGGGUGCUAAUACCGGCUAAUGUCUUCGGACCAAAGAUUUAUCGCCUUUGGAUGGGCCCGCGUUGGAUUAGCUAGUUGGUAGGGUAAAAGCCUACCACGGCGACGAUCCAUAGCUGGUCUGAGAGGAUGAUCAGCCACACUGGGACUGAGACACGGCCCAGACUCCUACGGGAGGCAGCAGUGGGGAAUAUUGGACAAUGGGCGAAAGCAUGAUCCAGCAAUGCCGCGUGAGUGAUGAAGGCCUUAGGGUUGUAAAGCUCGUUUACCCGGGAUGAUAAUGACAGUACCGGGAGAAUAAGCUCCGGCUAACUCCGUG